GCAUUGUUCGAUGAAAAGCUUCAUUUCUUAGUGUUUAGCUGCGUACAUUUUGCGUCUGGUAGUGCAGAGGGAGAAAUUGAUCAAAGCAUAGAGAACGGAGGAAAAGAAACUGAGGAGACAAAGCGCAGAGAAUUCCUGGACGAAGUCGACUGGGUCAGACCCAUGCAAGUCGGGAAUGAUCUCGAGCUUGAGAACUUGAUGUGAAGGCAAAGUCCAAGUCAGA
This 223-nucleotide unclassified non-coding RNA is filed under the name Hevea brasiliensis (rubber tree). The record is from RNAcentral. Lineage: Eukaryota; Viridiplantae; Streptophyta; Magnoliopsida; Malpighiales; Euphorbiaceae.